GGGCACCCCUCAAUCUCUAUGAUAAUUUCUUGUCUUCUCCAGGGGCCAGGGGCCUUGCUUAUAUAGUCCUCCUCCUCUGUGCGUUUUUGGUUCAGCAGGCGAUGUGGUACUAAACUUUCCACCAUAUCUCAUUAAAAUGCACAUAGGCCUUAAUGGACCAAAAUCUGAUUUGGGCCCAAUUAAUCCCGCAGCUCUUUUAUUUGGAGUCCUUCUUUUAUUAAUAUCUUUUGAUUCCGAACUCCAAAUAUAGCAAGUAAUAUAUGCAUUUCUAUCAGCUCGACGAGAUCUUUGCAAUGGUGUACUCCAUUCUGUGAUUGGUGGAAACACCUGGGCGGGCGCCCAAGGGGGGUGGGCGGGCGCCCUGCCCCCGGGCCCGUUUGCCUUCUCGUUCGUUCCCGUGGCUUCUGGAGUCUUCUAGAUGAUAGAAAAUUAUGCGGCACAUUAAUAUCUCUAUGUAAUCCCGAUGUGUAGGCCUUUCUUCCUUAUUUCCUGAUAACCCCCUGCAGAAAUAGACAAACACCAAAACUCGUGGAAUUCUGUCAGAUAAAACCCUAAGUCUAGAUGUUGAUUUCAUUUGGAUCCUUUUCUUUGUUUAUUUGAUAAUUAAAUUUGAUACUUAAGGACCGUCAACAAACUCCCCCAAGCUUACCUCUUGCUCGUCCCUGAGCAAGGAUGAACUCAAGAGUUUCUGCAAUGGUUUCAUUUCUUAAAAGUACACACGCAUUCAAACAAGAUCUCAUCUCUGAGUUAGAAUAAACUGUUAAGACUUAAAACUUACUCAUUUUACCUUUUACCAUGGGGCUUGUAACCGUCACUUGUGUCUUGAGCAGUUAAAAGAUAGAACGGUCAUGUCAAGCGCCAUGUCUCUUAUUCUUGAUCAGCUAUAGCUCUGGGGUUUUUUGUAGAUUUUCAAAUAAAACUCAGAGAUUCCUUAUAUGACUCUCUCAGAUCUCUCUUUUGUGGUAUUUAUGGAUCCUUACCAAGGCAGUAAUGGUAUAUGCCUUCUCUCAAAGUAUGUGGUAUUUUUGGUAUGAGGCAUAGUGAUAUUGCCUUCUCUCUCACCCUACUCUAAUAAAGUUCUGAUAUCUGGAGCUCAUAGGUGGAAGACAGCUAAUACAUACUUACAAGACAUUUAUUGCAUAGUCAAACCAUGGAUCCAGAGAAACAAAUCAAUAAGUCAAAUCAAGAUGUGCAUGUGUGGCGAAUGAAUGGUGUAUGGUGAUGAUGGUGAUAAUGAUGGUGAAAGUCUAAUUCUAUUUUUUAUGCUCUUUUGAGGGGAUACAUACCUUUCUUGUACUUUGAAGCUUUUUGGGGAGAAUGAGAUGCUCUAUAUUUUCUUUUUCUUUCCUCUCAGGUGGGUAUCUUGUACCCCUAAUUCUACUGUCGGACACUUGUCCAUUUUUACCUCUCGUCUCACUUUUUCUUUUCUUCGAGGUUCCGGGCACUUGCCCCUUUUUAUUUCCUCGUAUUAUUAUUAUUAUUUUCUUUCUUUUUCUCUUUCUCUUUUUUUUAGAGCACUCAUCUCCUGAAAGAAUGUAGCAAGUGGUAGUAACCAAAAUAACUGGAGCAUUUAUUUCACAGGGAAUAAUAGGGAUAGGAAAAUAUUUUUUGCUAUUCUCUCCCGGAUUAGGAGUAGAAUAAUUUUGGGUGGCUCUGGAGAUGGAAGUGAGUGGAUAUAUGUGGAUGGUACUUGUGGAGUAGAAGUAGCAUGUAUGAGUGAACGUGCAAGUGAAUCUUCAUUUUAACCACAUGACAAGCUCCUAAGGGUCUACACAGCUUGACCACACUCAAUGCUCAUAAGCAGUAAAAAGUAAAUAUGUGGCUCAAAGUCUAGCAAGCAUGUAUAUAUGGUUGUGGUAGGAUUUUAAACUCUCAUCAUACAGGAACUCAUCAUGUGUUAUUUUAAAGAUUUUUUCAAAGAUAAAAUUCUCCAGAAUUCUAGCAUCUCUAGGAACAGAUAAACAGCAGCUCAACCUUCCCAUAUUAUAUCCGCUAAGGACUUAGACUUUAGAUCAAGUACUCUUCCCACAAGUUUAGGUUUAGAGCAAGCUUUAAAUUAUAACAGUUAUGCCUAAACUUGAGAGAGAUUUCAAUUUUAAGAACUAGUCAUGGCAGAGCAACUAUUCAUCAUUUCCAUGAGAGAGCUAAUCAUGAGGGUUCAUAGCAAAUUUUAUUUAUUUGUUUAUUUAGCAAACUAAGCAAAGAUAUAUAUAUAAAAGCACAAAAUCUUUAUUUGGGUUUUUCAUAGUUUAUGUAUUUUAAUAUUCUAACAUAUUAUAAGUAUAAAGAUAGGUAGAAAUACUUAGCGAGAUAAAUGGGGGUGCUCUCCCCCAAGCUGAAUUUUGACGUAAUUUCUUCUGAUGUAGCUAGCAGGUGAUGGAGGUGUAUUUGAAAGUCGAUAGCACCCCGACAGCGAUUAGGAUGUCCUCCGUCUGCUAGUCUUCUUUGAUCCUUGAAUUCUGUGGAGCUCAAAUAGACAACAAAGCUUUGUGGAACUGGUUAAGUGUUAGCAUAAAUAUCUAGCCUUUAUCAUGUUGAGCCUCCUCAAUAUUACUUAUUUAGCAGGAUCAUGCACUUAUUAUUUUUAUAUUUUUAUUGUAAGAUGAAAACUUAUUUAUUUUAUUUUCAUGCCACCACAGUGAAUGUACUUAUGGGUUUUAUGCCAUGAGCAUACUCACAUGGGGCUUACUAUUUUUUAACAUUUAUUUUCUUUUCAAGAUAGCAUGAACCUGAUUAACUAAGCAAACUAUUGAAUGGAAAAGGAUAACUACCAAGUUUACCUCUUGGCAAGGCGUUCGGUGUUUUUAAGUCCUCCGAACGGGACUCUCUGUUUCCUUAGUCGUCCUGGGAUUUGCUGGGUGGCGUAGUCGGUGGUUCCGACGACGCCUCCUCUUCGUGUAUAACUAUCUUCUCUUUCCACACCUGACUCGGUGCUACGGUCUCCUCAGGAUAGUUCUGUUCAAGUUGUAUGUCUUCAGUCCUUAUCUCUUCUCCUUUGUAGUCUACCCAUCUGUCCUUGAUGACUUGCCUCCUCUGGUUGCGGUUGCGUUGUCUUCUUCUUGUCCUGAUCUGCUUAGAAUCUUCAACUAUAUAGUUAGAAUCAUUAAAGUAGUGGCGUACCUUUUCAGAGGGGAAGUGCAUGUGGACUUCUCCGGUUCCAAUAUAGAUAAUGGCUUUGAUAGUGCUGAGGAACGGUCUUCCAAGGAUGAUGGGUGGAUCGAACUCGUCUUCUCCCAUGUCAAUGACCUGAAAAAUCAUCUGGAGCUGAAUAUAUUGGUUGUAGGGGCAUGGUUCCAUGCAGGAGCUGAUAAGUGACUGCGGCCAUUAUGUUGUCGUCAGAUCCGGUGUCGUAGAGUGUCUUCUGAAAAGAGUAUCCAUUGAUUGUGCACUCGAUGCUUGGAACACCAGAGUCGUUCUUCUUGAUCAAGAAAGGUGACUUGAGUCGACGAUCUUGACCUCCUUGAGCUGCAGUGACCAUCUUAGCUGACUCGGUCCACAUUUGCUUGUUCCUGUUCCUCCUGUUGGUCCUCUUCCUUGGUUCAUGUCGGGAUUGCUCUGAAGCUUGUGUAGUCUUGUUCUUGAAGGAAAGUCUCCUUCUUCCCCUUGAUGUAGAGACUGAUCUUGGCAGCAUUAGCGUAGAUGACAGCUCUGGUGUUUAGGAAUGGCCUCCCUAAGAUAAUGGGUGCCCUCUCCUCAGUACCAGUCUCUAUCACCACGAAGUUUGCUGGAGCGUACAAGGUACCAACUCGGACACAGAGGUUCUUCAAUAUUUCCUUUGGAAAACUAAGUGUCCGACCUCCAUUGUGUUUUGUGCUCGUAGAUCCCGAUUCUUCACUUGGUGGAAUCUAGGAGUUGUAAAACUCCUCCAUAUUUUGUUUGAAGUGUACCUGUUCAUAGAGACAAGGCAGAGAUCAAGUGCAUGGGCUCUGUUGGUGGAAAACACCAACAGAACCAAAAGUGUAUUUGUUCUUCUCUAACCUUAAGCAUAGUGAGCAAGACAAAGUUGAUGGAUCAUGAGUGUGGCAUUAAAAACAUUUGUUAGAUCAGAUGGCUCAACCUAAUGGAAAGAUAAUAUAUCUAUAUUUAUGUUUUGUUUAUAUCUUUCAAAGAUUUAUAUGAUUAGGAGUGUGGGAUCACGAAGGUAGUACUAAGAACAAAGAUUAAAGGACUAAACAUGUUGAAUCAAUUGGGUUGAUUAAUUUGGAGCUACAAAUCAUACAUGUUUGUCUCUUUUAUUCAUGUGUAUGCCAAAACCAAGGAGAACUUAUAAAAGUGAUAAUCAAGUACUUUAAGAUGUUAUUGAAGAGUGAUGGUAUAGUAUCACCUUAUGGAAGCUUUCCUUUCUUAGCGGUUGUGCAUCGUGUUUGUGGCACCCUCCAUGAAUCAUCUCUUAUGAGCUACAUCUUUCUUGUGUAAAUUGUUAAACUUCAUGUGUCACUUUCUUCAUCUCUAAUGUGAGUUUAUCUCAGGACUUCCUAGGUUGAUGUUGAAAGUUCUCCUGCAGGGGUUAGUCCCACAAAAUAUACCAAUAUCUACUCAAGAAGUUUUUAGUUCAGUAACCAAACUAGACUCCAUGUCUAAUCAGAUUAAGGAAGGCUAUUUAACCUAAGCACCACGCUUAAUUUAAAUGCCAUUGGAAGUGUGUCCAGUACUUCCAAACUAACACUUACUAGGAUAAACAAAGGUAGCAUGAUGGCUUUUAUAGAGAUCUACUCAAGUGGAGAUGAAGUAGUGUGAUUAGUAUUUAACAAAUUGAGCAUGUCUCAAAGGUAAGGACAACCAACAUAGUAACAUGGCAAAGGAUGUUUUAUGUAAAGUACUCCCCCAAGCUUGAAUUUUGCAAAAUUCAAGUUUGGAUGAAUUUAAUUCAAUGUUGCAUGAUGAUUGGUUGGACAUACCUUGUGCUUGUCAUUCCUCGGAUCUUCUUGCUCCAAUCCUAGAAAGGUUAGUGACACGAAUACCCGAAGGAAUAUUUCUACAAUUAUCUUUAUAUGCUCAAUACACAAGGCAAUGUUGCAAAUAAUUAAAAGUUCAUGUUAUGAUCUGAUAAGUGCUUGUUUUAGGACACUAAGCUUGUCCUUGGGAAACCAUCAAUUAACUCAGCGAGAUCUGCAAUAUUUAUUAUAGACAUAUGCAUCGACAACCGCUCUUUUAAAGUUUUUAUAAAUAGAAAAGAAGAGAGGGUUGGAGAUCUCAAAUGUGGUAAUGUUGGAGAGACUAAUUGAUUGGGGAGAUGUUGCAUAUGAGCAUGGACUUGGUGAGGUAUUUAUGAAAUAACUUCCAUGCUCACUGUUGUUUCUCUCAUUCUCAAACUCCAAGGAUGAUUCUUCAUGAAUGCUUAAAAUUCCUCUAGGAUUGUCUCUCAAGUUUGUUUUAUCUAUCCAUCCAAUGGUGAUAGCACAUGGAUUUUUAAUGCCCUCUAGCCAUUGAUGUUGCUCUUCUCGAUCCUCCUUCUUAUGCAUGGGAUGUCUAGAGAGAUUCAUAGGAUUAUCACGAAUGAAGACAUACCUUCCUUUACUAAUAGAUAAAGAAAGAAGGACUCUACCAAAGGUUAUAUUAUUAAGACCAAUGUGAAAAUAUUUAGGAAAAACAUGGUCUUGUAGGGCUAGGUCUAAACCAGGAUUUAUAGAAAGAUUAACAGAUUCCCUAGGUGUAGCUAAAAGUGCAUUAUCUUCUUGAUUAAAAGAUAGGACCUCAGCUAUAGAAAAGGGUUGGUUUUGACCUAUUGCAAUCAACUCCGGACACAGAUCAUAAUUAGAGGCAGGACGUGUUGACUCCCAUGGUCUAUGGCUGGUCUCCGAAGGUGCAAAGAAUUUAAUAAUAGGUAUGGAAUUUGAGUUAUCCAUAAAGAUAAAAAUAAAUAGAUAAAAGAAUAAAAGUAUAAUACAAGAUAAUAGCAAGAUUCAAAGUUAUCUCAGCAAACUGUCUUUCUCCCCGGCAACGGCGCCAGAAAUGCUUGUUGAUAUUUGGUAACGCAAUUAGAAAAUGAUCCGCAAGCGCACGGAUAUCGGUGAGCAUUUCACCCGGGAGGUUUUCCAGAGUAUCGUAUUUAUAUUUUUACCACUGGGAGAAAGGGUGCAUCUGACUAACCAAAUCUAUUGCUACUAUCCCUUUAGGCUACAAAGAAUGUCUCUCGAUGUGAGUGAUGUAUAGAGAAGACUGCAACCUUAGUCUCGUUCUAACCUUGGUAAGGAUGAUCUACUGUUCUAUUGGGGAGGCUCACGGAAUCUAGACAACACAAAGGAUGUUCGACCCGCACCUAUAAACCUACCCGUCCUGCUAACGAGAUGUGAUCUGCAAAGGUAACUCGGAAAUGUCACGUUCCUCGCUACUACAACGGUCCAGCUAGUCAGGGGAUAUCUAUGAGUACCCUAGCCUAAACACCACGUUUACGCUAGCAAGUGAUUACUCUAAUACUCAACCGGAAGAGGAUUAAAGUAAACUCAUAAACCAAAGAACAAUAAAACAAGAACUUACUAGUAUUAGAAGUCGAAUUACUGAAGAAUCUUAGAAGCAAGCCUCGGGUUAGGAGACUUGAUCCCGCAGGUACAACUCGGAGUAGACACCGACAGGCCGGCCUUCCUCCGAUCCACACCUCCACUCUAUCUUUCUCAAUCUAGUAGAAACUAGAAGAUCUAUUUCUACUUUACAUUGGUUGCUAAGCCUAAAAAGAAAUAUUAUUUAGAGAAGAGGUUUUCCUUCGAGGGCACCCCUCAAUCUCUAUGAUAAUUUCUUGUCUUCUCCAGGGGCCUUGCUUAUAUAGUCCUCCUCCUCUGUGCGUUUUUGGUUCAGCAGGCGAUGUGGUACUAAACUUUCCACCAUAUCUCAUUAAAAUGCACAUAGGCCUUAAUGGACCAAAAUCUGAUUUGGGCCCAAUUAAUCCCGCAGCUCUUUUAUGUGGAGUCCUUCUUUUAUUAAUAUCUUUUGAUUCCGAACUCCAAAUAUAGCAAGUAAUAUAUGCAUUUCUAUCAGCUCGACGAGAUCUUUGCAAUGAUGUACUCCAUUCUGUGAUUGGUGGAAACACCUGGGCGGGCGCCCUGCCCCCGGGCCCGUUUGCCUUCUCGUUCGUUCCCGUGGCUUCUGGAGUCUUCUAGAUGAUAGAAAAUUGUGCGGCACAUUAAUAUCUCUAUGUAAUCCCGACGUGUGGGCCUUUCUUCCUUAUUUCCUGAUAACCCCCUGCAGAAAUAGACAAACACCAAAACUCGUGGAAUUCUGUCAGAUAAAACCCUAAGUCUAGAUGUUGAUUUCAUUUGGAUCCUUUUCUUUGUU
Molecule: long non-coding RNA, 7269 nt
Filed under: Sorghum bicolor (sorghum)
Lineage: Eukaryota; Viridiplantae; Streptophyta; Magnoliopsida; Poales; Poaceae
Description: long non-coding RNA (SBIC_LNC012151)
Source: RNAcentral